GCACAGCAGGUUGCAACUGGAUCAGCUCAAAGAGGUGAGAUGGCUGACAAUUAAGAAAACAGAGUUCAGUGAGGAAGAGACGGCUUGGUCUUCAACAGGAUGCCAGGAUCACAUUUUUAACACACCGUUUAAAGGGCUUUCUUGUCCGCAGCUGAACAUCCAGCAUACCACACAGAGAUGGAGAAUGACAGCACGCUCUCGAUGGUCGCCCGGUAGAAGGACACCAGCAGCUUCUUGUUCAGUCUGUUCCUCCGAAGCACCCUCAUGAAGUGCAGUCGCUGCUGGGCCUUUUUAACUGCUGCAGUGGUGUGUGCAGCUGAGGCUCUCCGAAAUUUGAACCCCGAGGAACUUAAAGGUGGGGACCCUCUCCACUCUCUCUCCAUUGAGUCUUGACCCCUUGAUGCAUCUCUUCAAGACAAGUUACUGGGCAAACACCAAACUGCAAGAUGAAAACUAUUGUCAUUGAUUGGAUGCCACAUCUCUGCCUAUUUGCAGAGACAACUCCCCAGAAGAAGAAAUAACCUGCAGUUACGGGGAUGCUGACUGGCCUUUGCGCAAACAGGUACAUUUACACAUAUAACUCAACAAUAACACGUGAUUCAACACAUUUUAUUGUUUCCGU
This is a long non-coding RNA of Gymnodraco acuticeps, 622 nucleotides long. RefSeq lists it as uncharacterized. Lineage: Eukaryota; Metazoa; Chordata; Actinopteri; Perciformes; Bathydraconidae. The record is from RefSeq and is a predicted model, not a curated record. The transcript is spliced from 4 exons.